GGGGGGGGGGGGGGGGGGGGGGGGGGCGGGCGGGGGGGGCGGGGGGGGCCGGGGGGGGGGGGGGGCUCGAGUGGCGGGCGCGGGAGUGUCACGUGAGGGACCGGCCCUCGCGUGUGGGAGGCGGGCAGGAAGCAGGGGUCAGUACCACGUGGGAGAGCCCGCCGCGUGGCGCGUGCGGGACAGAUUCGGCGCCUGGGGUUGGACUCGCGGCUUACCAGCUGGUUCGUGGGGUAGUGGCUUACCAAGGCUCUGACGGGUAGCCGGCCUGAGAGGGUGACCGGCCACAUUGGGACUGAGAUACGGCCCAGACUCCUACGGGAGGCAGCAGUGGGGAAUAUUGCACAAUGGGCGGAAGCCUGAUGCAGCAACGCCGCGUGCGGGAUGACGGCCUUCGGGUUGUAAACCGCUUUCGCCUGUGACGAAGCGUGAGUGACGGUAAUGGGUAAAGAAGCACCGGCUAACUACGUG
RNAcentral lists this ribosomal RNA (468 nucleotides) under uncultured bacterium. RNAcentral describes it as "partial 16S ribosomal RNA". The stretch from base 58 to 468 matches the Rfam family "Bacterial small subunit ribosomal RNA", at positions 39 to 507 of the family's 1533-position model. The record is from RNAcentral.